This 568-nucleotide ribosomal RNA is filed under the name Moesziomyces antarcticus. RNAcentral describes it as "partial large subunit ribosomal RNA". It matches the Rfam family "Eukaryotic large subunit ribosomal RNA", at positions 99 to 648 of the family's 3401-position model. Lineage: Eukaryota; Fungi; Basidiomycota; Ustilaginomycetes; Ustilaginales; Ustilaginaceae. The record is from RNAcentral.
AGGGAAGAGCCCAAGAUUGAAAGCUGGCGUCUUCGGCGUCCGCAUUGUAAUCUCAAGAAGUGUUUUCCGCUUCGGACCAAGCCUAAGUCCCCUGGAAAGGGGCAUCAUAGAGGGUGAUAAUCCCGUACAUGGCUUGGAGCGCCCGAGGCUUUGUGAUACGCUUUCUAAGAGUCGAGUUGUUUGGGAAUGCAGCUCAAAAUGGGUGGUAAAUGCCAUCUAAGGCUAAAUAUUGGGGAGAGACCGAUAGCGAACAAGUACAGUGAUGGAAAGAUGAAAAGAACUUUGAAAAGAGAGUUAAACAGUACGUGAAAUUGCCAAAAGGGAAGGGUAGGAGGUCAGAGAUGCGGCCUGGGAUUCAGCCUUGCUUUUGCUUGGUGUUUUUCCCAGAUUGCAGGCCAACGUCGGUUUUGGGCACUGGAGAAGGGUAGGAGGAACGUGGCACCCCUCGGGGUGUGUUAUAGCCUCCUACUGGAUACAGCGACCGAGACCGAGGACAGCAGCGUACUCGCAAGAGCGGGCCUUCGGGCACCUUUACGCUUAGGGCGUUGGCAUAAUGGCCCUCUACCAC